RNAcentral lists this transfer RNA (77 nucleotides) under bacterium. Its description in RNAcentral is "tRNA-His". It matches the Rfam family "tRNA". From Rfam's summary of the family: Transfer RNA (tRNA) molecules are approximately 80 nucleotides in length. RNAcentral also lists the same sequence under 1 other name. The record is from RNAcentral.
GCGGGCUUAGCUCAGCUGGUUAGAGCAUCUGAUUGUGGUCCAGAGGGUCAUGGGUUCGAAUCCCAUAGCCCGCCCCA